RNAcentral lists this ribosomal RNA (612 nucleotides) under Anelosimus sp. 40PR. Its description in RNAcentral is "partial 28S ribosomal RNA". It matches the Rfam family "Eukaryotic large subunit ribosomal RNA", at positions 604 to 820 of the family's 3401-position model. Lineage: Eukaryota; Metazoa; Arthropoda; Arachnida; Araneae; Theridiidae. The record is from RNAcentral.
GGUCCUGCACGAGCCUCGUCGUGAAGAUAAAGGAUCCCCGACGGGACCAUGUGGCAUGUGGUAGCGACUGGAACCGACGCAUUCCCUUCCCGCCCGAAGGACGCCGCAACCGGUUGGGAAACGGCCUGAGAGUCGAGCAGUGGCAGGUGGCCGGUGGCGCUACUCUAUGGCGUCGUCGGUGUCUAGCCGGCUCCUCACGCGGCUCGAKUCCCGACCGUGGUGUCGCGAGGCCCCGAAGCGGGCUUCUCCGCCUCCUCCGUAAAAGGAUUKSCGAMGGSSAMGGMARKGGUUYUGCAGUKSUGCACACSCACGGAMUGACUCCSUGGCGGGCGGCUUGGARUCCUCCAUGGUCGGRCCGUAACGGUUGGARUGUUGGUGGUUGGCGGCSAGUAGAUCGGUCACCCAUCCGACCCGUCUUGAAACACGGACCAAGGARUCUAACAUGUGUGCGARUCAAUGGGUCUCGAUUAAGCCCAGAGGCGCAAUGAAAGCAAAGGCCGGACUGGACGCCGGCUGUGUUGGGAUCUCCGAGCCUUCGAGCUCGGGGCGCACCAACGACCCGUCCUAUCCUAUCGGYYGGGCGGAGUCUGAGCAUACACGUUGGGACCCGAA